This 492-nucleotide ribosomal RNA is filed under the name uncultured bacterium. RNAcentral describes it as "partial 16S ribosomal RNA". It matches the Rfam family "Bacterial small subunit ribosomal RNA", at positions 29 to 507 of the family's 1533-position model. The record is from RNAcentral.
AUUGAACGCUGGCGGCAUGCUUUACACAUGCAAGUCGAACGGUAGCAGGCCUUCGGGUGCUGACGAGUGGCGAACGGGUGAGUAAUGCAUCGGAACGUACCCAGAGGUGGGGGAUAACGCAGCGAAAGCUGUGCUAAUACCGCAUGUGAUCUGAGGAUGAAAGCGGGGGACCGAGCAGCAAUGUUUGGCCUCGCGCCUUUGGAGCGGCCGAUGUCGGAUUAGCUAGUUGGUGGGGUAAAGGCCUACCAAGGCGACGAUCCGUAGCUGGUCUGAGAGGACGACCAGCCACACUGGGACUGAGACACGGCCCAGACUCCUACGGGAGGCAGCAGUGGGGAAUUUUGGACAAUGGGCGCAAGCCUGAUCCAGCAAUGCCGCGUGCGGGAAGAAGGCCUUCGGGUUGUAAACCGCUUUUGGCAGGAACGAAACGGUGUCCGCUAAUACCGGGUGCUAAUGACGGUACCUGCAGAAUAAGCACCGGCUAACUACGUG